This 486-nucleotide ribosomal RNA is filed under the name uncultured bacterium. RNAcentral describes it as "bacterial SSU rRNA". It matches the Rfam family "Bacterial small subunit ribosomal RNA", at positions 28 to 507 of the family's 1533-position model. The record is from RNAcentral.
GAUGAACGCUAGCGGCAGGCUUAAUACAUGCAAGUCGAGGGGCAGCGCGGGUAGCAAUACCUGGCGGCGACCGGCAAACGGGUGCGGAACACGUACGCAACCUUCCCAAAACUGGUGAAUAGCCCUCCGAAAGGAGGAUUAAUACACCGUACCAUAACGAAGAGGCAUCUCUUUGUUAUUAUAGUAGCAAUACGGUUUUGGAUGGGCGUGCGCCUGAUUAGGUAGUUGGCGGGGUAACGGCCCACCAAGCCUGCGAUCAGUAACUGGUGUGAGAGCACGACCAGUCACACGGGCACUGAGACACGGGCCCGACUCCUACGGGAGGCAGCAGUAAGGAAUAUUGGUCAAUGGACGCAAGUCUGAACCAGCCAUGCCGCGUGAAGGAUGAAGGCCCUCUGGGUUGUAAACUUCUUUUAUCUGGGACGAAAAAAGGGCUUUCUAGCUCACUUGACGGUACCAGAGGAAUAAGCACCGGCUAACUCCGUG